UACAGAGGGUGCAAGCGUUAAUCGGAAUUACUGGGCGUAAAGCGUGCGUAGGUGGUUCUUUAAGUCAGGUGUGUAAUCCCCGGGCUCAACCUGGGAACUGCAUUUGAUACUGAAGAGCUAGAGUGUGGUAGAGGAUAGUGGAAUUCCCGGUGUAGCGGUGAAAUGCGCAGAUAUCAGGAAGAACACCCGUGGCGAAGGCGGCUCUCUGGGACGGUACUGACGCUGAGACGCGAAAGCGUGGGGAGCGAACAGG
This 253-nucleotide ribosomal RNA is filed under the name uncultured bacterium. Its description in RNAcentral is "partial 16S ribosomal RNA". It matches the Rfam family "Bacterial small subunit ribosomal RNA", at positions 524 to 776 of the family's 1533-position model. The record is from RNAcentral.